CCGCACUAGAUGGAGAGUUAGCGGUGCUCUGUAACCUGCAAUCCGCUACAGCAGGAUUGAAUUCCUCAAAGAGGUAUCGGUCUUUUGAGGUCUGCCACAAGAAAGUGGUGUUGACGGUUGGACCCUUCGCAAUAGGAACUUGCGAACCCUGUCAGGUCCGGAAGGAAGCAGCAGUAAGGAAGACCUUCUAUGUGCCGGAGGAUUCUCUGACUUGAGCCAACUCCUUGCGUAACGCUCGGAAGCCGGCUAUCAAUGCGAGGUGUGCGG
This 267-nucleotide signal recognition particle RNA is filed under the name Eubacterium sp. Its description in RNAcentral is "signal recognition particle sRNA large type". It matches the Rfam family "Bacterial large signal recognition particle RNA". Rfam says of the family: The signal recognition particle (SRP) is a universally conserved ribonucleoprotein involved in the co-translational targeting of proteins to membranes. Archaeal SRP consists of a 7S RNA and homologues of the eukaryotic SRP19 and SRP54 proteins. In most bacteria, the SRP consists of a 4.5S RNA and the Ffh protein (a homologue of the eukaryotic SRP54 protein). Lineage: Bacteria; Bacillati; Bacillota; Clostridia; Eubacteriales; Eubacteriaceae. The record is from RNAcentral.